CUUGGUUGUAACCUCCUUGAAACGGUGGAGGAGGAGCUUGUCCUGGAGGACCAUAGCUCUGCUGAGGACCACCAUAUCCACCUCCACCACCACCUUGCAUUGGCGGUUGCUGACCAUACUGAGGGUUUCUCUGGAAGUUUUGAGGACCGCCUUGACGGUCAGGUCUUUGAUUGAACUUAUCACGGGGUUGUCUUCUGUUAGGCUGAAAUGGUGGUGGCCUGUGUGUGAUCACUCCGUUCUCAUACUUAUCUCCUGAAAUAAAUAAAAAACGAGAAAACAGAAUAGUUAUUUACACAGUUCCAAGGAUCAGUUUCUAUGUAUGAUGAAUCAAAAACCAAAACUCACCUCCAUUGGAGGGCCUUGGUUGUAACCUCCUUGAAACGGUGGAGGAGGAGCUUGUCCUGGAGGACCAUAGCUCUGCUGAGGACCACCAUAUCCACCUCCACCACCACCUUGCAUUGGCGGUUGCUGACCAUACUGAGGGUUUCUCUGGAAGUUUUGAGGACCGCCUUGACGGUCAGGUCUUUGAUUGAACUUAUCACGGGGUUGUCUUCUGUUAGGCUGAAAUGGUGGUGGCCUGUGUGUGAUCACUCCGUUCUCAUACUUAUCUCCUG
This 614-nucleotide long non-coding RNA is filed under the name Brassica napus (rape). RNAcentral describes it as "long non-coding RNA (BNAP_LNC009362)". Lineage: Eukaryota; Viridiplantae; Streptophyta; Magnoliopsida; Brassicales; Brassicaceae. The record is from RNAcentral.